CAUUUUCUUUGAUUCGCUGCCAACAUGCCAGCACAGCACUUCCUUCUUUUCCCAACCUUUACCAUAACCCUGCAGCGAGGAAAGGGUGCUCAUGUGCAAAGCACUCACCCAAGUCUCUCAGUGGGGAUUCUUGCAGCUGAAGCUUUAGUGCAGAAUGGCAAAGCAGGGGAAUGGGGCAGGGACACCCAGCUGCUGAUUUCCCUCUGCAUUGAGCACUGGGAACGCAGUGGGAGAGAACAGCACCUCCUGCCACCCCAUGGACUGUAAAAAUUCCAUCUUAUCCAUUUAUUUCAGGUGCAGUGUGACUAAAAAGCCCCUUCCCUGUCCAUCUCUGUGUUCCCUCUGCACAACACGGAUCAUGCCCACUGAUGCAGGCACACAGCAUCCCUGUCUGGCCAGGCUGCCCCAGCUACAUCAGUACCCAGAGCUACAGAUACGGAGGAAAAGCGAUUGCAAAGCAGAAAGGACCGUUUUGGGGGUACAUUUGGCAGCGAAAUCAGUGCUCAGGAUGGAACCAGUGGGGCAGCCUCCCUGCGAUGCUCUCCAGGCACCAAUCCCUGCACCAGCCCUUCCUACACCGUCCCCACACUCACAGCAAAGACUUUUAUUUUCGUACAUCGAAAAAGAAAAUGUACAACGGCUUGAGAAGCCCCUUUAAAGAGUAAAAAUCUAACAGCAUAAAUCCGGAGCAUCGUAACAAAAUCCGACUUCUGGUUAAAAACUAAAAGGAUUUUGCAAUUAUUUCUUUUCGUUUGUGAAAUAACGAAACCCUCACGAAUAUUCCGGGUAGAUGAGAAGUCGUUCGCCGUUUUAUCUCACAGCGGUCGCACAACGAACUGAGAUUCCGAGGGAGGUGAGAGCGCUCGGCCCGAUGUAACUAUCAAAUAUCCCCCAAAGAUUUAAAGCAAACCACACGUGGCUGCUCCUCUCGCUGCCCCGCUGCCCGCAGCCAUCGGUGCGGGACGGAGAACCGCAGCUCUUUCGCAGCGUCAUUAAACAUUCGUUAAAACAUUUACUCGAUGGUCCGUGACGAAGCGCUGGAGCUGCGGGCGCACGCAACGACUCCAUCGGACGGUUCUGCGGUGCAAAACCAUCGCAUUUAGAGCCUCGCAGCCCUCAGUCCCCUCUCAUCGCAUCUCUUUCAGGCAGAUGCUGGAGCUGGAAGGGCUGCAGCUUACCCCGCUUUCUGCCGUCGGUUCUGGGCGUUCCGAUUUCGGGUUUCCCUCUCGGCUCGGAGCGCAGUGCCCGGCCCGUGGCAUCAGAGCCCGAGGGAUGGAUGGGGAAAGCGACGUGAGCCGGCAGCUCGCAGCGAGGUCUGUAAGUCCUUGUAUGGCAGAAAUAAACGUAUUACACGGUUAUUAGUAAUUUGGCGC
Molecule: long non-coding RNA, 1373 nt
Filed under: Coturnix japonica (Japanese quail)
Lineage: Eukaryota; Metazoa; Chordata; Aves; Galliformes; Phasianidae
Description: lncRNA (ENSCJPG00005017391.1)
Source: RNAcentral